This is a long non-coding RNA of Hirundo rustica (Barn swallow), 2885 nucleotides long. RefSeq lists it as uncharacterized. The record is from RefSeq and is a predicted model, not a curated record. The transcript is spliced from 5 exons. Lineage: Eukaryota; Metazoa; Chordata; Aves; Passeriformes; Hirundinidae.
GCAGCUACAGUGCUGGGGCUGUAGGAAAUCUCCACUUCCCUUUAUGUGGAUGGAGAAAAGAAGUUACGGGAGGCACAAUUGGGUAAGGUGUGGAGGAGGGGAUCACUUUGUCCUCUGUGGCCACAGUGACCAAUGGCAGAAAUCCUGGGCUGGGCUGGCAGUGGCAGGGAAGUGGGGGAGAGGUGAGGAAACUCUUUCCCUGCAGACUGUGGUGUCUUCAUCCCCGGACCUUGAUUUUAUGUGAUUUUUACGGAAGACCGAGCAGUGGGAAGGAGCUUGGAAUUGAUGCAGUGUUGCCAAGUGGUGGUGGUAGCAUCACCUUUCACGGCGCCUAUCGACCACCCUGGAUGGUUGCAGGGAUUGACAACUCUGCUGGUGUCCCACGGCCCCAUUUUGUUGUUUAAAGUUGGUCUUUGAAUUGUGGGAUUUACAUCUCCACCCAGGGAUGGUUGUGUCUUAUUUGCCUUAAGGCUCGGGGCUUUUGGAGCAGAGGGAGAUGAAGAGGCUAGUCCUUCCCUGUUUGAUGAAGAAGAGCAUAUCCCAGGCUGGAAACAUAUUUAGGAGUGGAAACAAAGUCAGACGACUUGGGAAAAGCUCACAGAAGGGGAAAUCAGAUGGGAUUAAAUCCACCCAGAGCCGGUUUCCAGGCCAUUUCCAUGCUUCUCCCAGUCCAGGGGCUGUAGGUGCUGCAACUCCCUGUCCCUUGGCCAGCCAGGGUGGGGACCUUGUGACAGAGUGGGGCUGGCAGUCAAAGCCUCAUUCCCACUGGGCUGGUGAGCUGGGAAACCGGUCCUGGCACAGGAGAAAGCCACCUCCUCCGCAGGCUCGAUGGGAGCUGUGACUGUCUGUGGGGUUUUUAAAUAGUCGUGACUUUGCUGAGCUGAUUCCUUUUUGAUGUGCGCAGACUUCUCCCUCCGACUUUCCCUUUGCAGCUUUCCCUCGCAGCAAGGGGAGUUGCUGAGUGGAUCCCAGUGGAUGGGGCUUCUCCCACUGCUCCAUCCUCCCUCCCGUCUGGAGGUGGGGAAGGAAAAGGGCCACGCCAAUCCCAGCGCUCCUGUGUGCGAGCCAAUUCCCCCAAGGAUGGCUGCUUUAAUGAGAUGUCACAGCUAAUGAGUCUGCUGGCAGAGUGCUUGUGGAGAAACGUGCUGGGAAAUGGUAACGCAGCAAGUCUCAGCGCUGGGAUGGUGCAGCUUUCCAGGCUCUGUCCCAUCCCAGAGAUGGGAAUCCAUGGGAGCAGCUGGCUGAAGGACCUUGUGCUCCACCCCAGCAUCAGCCAGGAGCAGCUUGCUGACAGCCCGCUGCCUGCUCGCUAUCAGGAUGUGAUUGGGCCAAGUGAAUGGAAUAAAUUUGUCCCCAAAACAGUGGAGUGGCCAACAGCCCAGCCAAUGCAAAUAUUGGGAGCUCCCAAUACACCAGGCACCAGUGCAGGGUUCAUUAAGUGGGGCUGGUGAUUUAUGGGAAGAAAUUUAUGCUACUGGUGGUCUCAUCCUCCUUGUCCACAACCCAAAAAAGAACAUCAGGCUGCCAGCAGAUCUGAGAUUCUCCUUUACAGCAGUUGGGCCUGAGGGGCACCUCAGAAUCCCUGUGAUGAGUGAGCAUCCAAGUUCCCUCUAUCCCAGUAUGUGGAGACUGGGGGAGCUCAGAAAUAUUUUCACUGCUGAGCACGGAGAGUUCUCUUGGAAGCAAUUUACGCCCUGGAAUCUGCUGGGAGUUAAACACACAAAGGAGCAGGGAUGCAGGAGGAACAGAGUGCAGGAUGAUCCAGGGCACCCAUCCCAGAGGAGGGCACCCCCAGCACUCCAGGGCAGAGGAGGGAGGAGAUUCAUUUCUAAGGCUGACCUGCCUCUUCUUUGGACUGCGGAACCGUGCAGUGGCCACUCUCUGUGUCCAUCUGAGCCCCACCAGGGCCCUGGUGGCCUCUGUACCCACUUGGCUUCCUCUGCUGCUCUGUGCUCCAGCAAUGGAGGAGCUCUGGAAGCCACCUCUGCAAUCUCACACAGCUCUGGCUCUGGCAUGGGGAAGCAACGAGAGCAGGAAUGUGGAGACUUAACCCCAUUUAUCGUUAAAGGCUGGAGGAGGGAGAGCUGUGUUCAUACCCCACCCUGCUCGUGCCAGCAAAGGUUGCCUUGGGGACACCUGGGCCAGGGAGUCCCCAGGGCUGUGCCAUUGCUGCAGUAAGUGCCACCUGCGGGUACUCGAGGUUCUAAUGGCACUCAAGUGCAUUUUUCAAAUAUUCUCAGAGCUGAUAAGGCCUCUGCCGCUCCAGAGGGGCUCAGUGCCUGCCCAGGCACACACCAGGCUCCUCAGGAGAAGGAGGGAACCCAAUAACUCACUCAGCCACCUGAGUCCCACCACAAUGUCUCUUUCCAGUCCUUCACCCCACAGCCCACCUGUGGUGGAGUGAAGAUGGCUGUGACCUCGCUGGUCCCAGAUCAGAGCAGGUACGGUACGAGCAGAAAACUCCAUCCAGCUGCUCCCCUGCCUUUAGCAUCAGACACCAACAAAAAUCAAUUCUCAGAGUAAAUUAAGAAGCGGUUGAAAAUGCACCGUAUGGCUUGGCACGGUGCCACCUAACACCUGUGGGGAGCUUUUUGCCAGGACAGCUGGAGGAAAUAUCCCCUGAAACUGAUGCCAAGCCUGCCUGGAGGGGAGGGCUGCUCCGCCACUCUCUGUCCCUGCAGGGAAGCUCCAGCACAGGAUUUAGCUUACACCUGUCCCAUUGCUGUGGAAGAAUUGGACUCCAGAGAUGCCCAGGGUGCAGGGCUGAGGCCGGGAGCCCGGCUGGCAUCGCCUCAGGGUCUGGCUGUGCCGGUGUAAUCGCGCUGUGCUGCGGAAUGACCUUGGGCUGAAAACAAUUCCACGCUCGGGCCUCGCAGGCUGUUGCU